This is a non-coding RNA of Felis catus (domestic cat), 45 nucleotides long. The record is from Rfam. Lineage: Eukaryota; Metazoa; Chordata; Mammalia; Carnivora; Felidae.
CCAAAGGCUCUUUUCAGAGCCAAUGACCUUUUCUAUGAGAUAGUG